ACGCUGGCGGCGUGCCUAAUACAUGCAAGUCGAACGAGAGCGACCGGUGCUUGCACUGGUCAAUCUAGUGGCGAACGGGUGAGUAACACGUGGGUAACCUGCCCAUCAAAGGGGGAUAACAUUCGGAAACGGAUGCUAAAACCGCAUAGGUCCUUUAACCGCAUGGUUGAAGGAGGAAAAGAGGCGCAAGCUUCUGCUGAUGGAUGGACCCGCGGUGCAUUAGCUAGUUGGUGAGGUAACGGCUCACCAAGGCCGUGAUGCAUAGCCGACCUGAGAGGGUGAUCGGCCACAUUGGGACUGAAACACGGCCCAAACUCCUACGGGAGGCAGCAGUAGGGAAUCUUCCGCAAUGGACGCAAGUCUGACGGAGCAACGCCGCGUGAGUGAAGAAGGUUUUCGGAUCGUAAAACUCUGUUGUUAGAGAAGAACAAGUGCUAGAGUAACUGUUAGCGCCUUGACGGUAUCUAACCAGAAAGCCACGGCUAACUACGUGCCAGCAGCCGCGGUAAUACGUAGGUGGCAAGCGUUGUCCGGAUUUAUUGGGCGUAAAGCGAGCGCAGGCGGUUCCUUAAGUCUGAUGUGAAAGCCCCCGGCUCAACCGGGGAGGGUCAUUGGAAACUGGGGAACUUGAGUGCAGAAGAGGAGAGUGGAAUUCCAUGUGUAGCGGUGAAAUGCGUAGAUAUAUGGAGGAACACCAGUGGCGAAGGCGACUCUCUGGUCUGUAACUGACGCUGAGGCUCGAAAGCGUGGGUAGCAAACAGGAUUAGAUACCCUGGUAGUCCACGCCGUAAACGAUGAGUGCUAAGUGUUGGAGGGUUUCCGCCCUUCAGUGCUGCAGUUAACGCAUUAAGCACUCCGCCUGGGGAGUACGACCGCAAGGUUGAAACUCAAAGGAAUUGACGGGGACCC
Molecule: ribosomal RNA, 909 nt
Filed under: uncultured bacterium
Lineage: Bacteria
Description: bacterial SSU rRNA
Rfam family: Bacterial small subunit ribosomal RNA
Source: RNAcentral